This 432-nucleotide ribosomal RNA is filed under the name uncultured bacterium. RNAcentral's name for it is "partial 16S ribosomal RNA". It matches the Rfam family "Bacterial small subunit ribosomal RNA", at positions 29 to 507 of the family's 1533-position model. The record is from RNAcentral.
AACGAACGCUGGCGGCAUGCCUAACACAUGCAAGUCGAACGAGACCUUCGGGUCUAGUGGCGCACGGGUGCGUAACGCGUGGGAACCUGCACUUAGGUUCGGCAUAACUCUCCGACAGGGGUGCUAAUACCGGAUCAUGUCUUCGGACCAAAGAUGUAUUGACUUUGGAUGGGCCCGAGUUGGAUUAGCUGGUUGGUAGGGUAAAAGACUAACAAGGCGACCAUCCAUAGCUGGGUCGAGUGGACGAUCAGCAACACUGGGACUGGGACACGGCCCAGACUCCGACGGAAGGCAGCAGUGGUGAAGAAUGGACAAUGGGCGAGGCCUGAUCCAGCAAUGCCGCGUGAGUGAUGAAGGCCUUAGGGUUGUAAAGCGCUUGUACCCGGGAUGAUAAUGACAGUACCGGGAGAAUAAGCCCCGGCUAACUCCGUG